Molecule: non-coding RNA, 46 nt
Organism: Schistosoma mattheei
Lineage: Eukaryota; Metazoa; Platyhelminthes; Trematoda; Strigeidida; Schistosomatidae
Source: Rfam
GCACUGCUGAGGAGUCCUAUACUAGAACGAAACAGCCGUCCAGUAC